AACAACACGACGCUUGACCACAGUCAAAACAAACCUUUCUGAGCGUUUUAAAGAUAUAAAAGUAAAUUUCCUGCAGGUGACAGUCAGUGAGAGCCUUUAAAUGUCACUUAUCAGCACACAUUUCAGCCCUUUCAAGCAAAAAAUGCGACUAUCACUGGAUAAUGUGCAGGAAUGCUGGACACUCCAUCACCUGUUUGUCCGAGCCAUCACCGCUGUGUUGUCUUACCGCCCCAGCAUGGUCCUUUCCUUUGCCGCUCAGUUGUCUUACCACCCCAGAUGAGCUUGUGAUUCAUUGAACACAGCUGGCAGAUCCUUUAGGGUUCAUCAGUCCAACUGCUUCUGAGCUGGACCUGAGAGAGACAUCUAGUGCUCAAUGCUGAAAUUACAGCUCAUUCACAAACAAAUGAGUGGAAUAUUGUUGCAGCUCUGCAAGACCAUGUUUCCCAUGAUGCUUCAGAUGACCAGUUCAAAGUGAUUUCCCUGCAGUCUUCCAAGCUUAAGAGCUUCAAACGCAGGACGGACACAAGAGAUCU
This 533-nucleotide long non-coding RNA is filed under the name Danio rerio (zebrafish). RNAcentral's name for it is "si:ch73-381a20.2 (ENSDARG00000095980.3)". Lineage: Eukaryota; Metazoa; Chordata; Actinopteri; Cypriniformes; Danionidae. The record is from RNAcentral.